GAUAACAUGUUUAAUUCAGUUCU
This 23-nucleotide small nuclear RNA is filed under the name Arabidopsis thaliana (thale cress). RNAcentral's name for it is "snRNA_07185". The record is from RNAcentral. Lineage: Eukaryota; Viridiplantae; Streptophyta; Magnoliopsida; Brassicales; Brassicaceae.